UUGCUGGGAAGCCGAAACGCAUAUGUUGCACAAUAUUUAAGCAGAUCCGCAAAAUCAACAUGUUCUUGAUGUGCCUGCACAACCACGUUCCCAGGGCUUUCGUGUAAAGACGAGCGGGGAGAAGAGAAAGCCAUUCUCUGGCCCGAUCACGUGAUAUGGGCAUAUUUGACAGAUACUCGUCAAGGAGUAGCGAUUUAUUCUGACUGAACUAUACUGGCUUCUGAAACAAAAACUGCUGAACAC
This is a non-coding RNA of Paramuricea clavata, 243 nucleotides long. Lineage: Eukaryota; Metazoa; Cnidaria; Anthozoa; Malacalcyonacea; Plexauridae. The record is from the annotation of a GenBank genome assembly.